AAAACGAAUAUCUCCAUUACAUUGUUUAAAAUAAUAUUGUACACAUGUUAUUUUCAGAAAAGUUUUCGUCCACAGGAACCCGCACAAAUCCACCCCUGAGCGUUGUUUUAAACAUGCCAAACCCAUAGGGGGCAGUGUAGCGCAAAGCUAAAACCUAUGUCAACCAAUCAGAAUCCUUCAAAACAACUGAGACUUCCUGUUAGGAAUUUAACCUGGCGCCAGGAGGUUUAUUUGUGUGGACAGAUUGAUAGAGGUAGCUACUUUUAAGUAGCGUAUUAGAAUGUAUAGAUAUUCAAACACAAGACGAUAUUGAUUGGGAAUCGUGUCAAAGCAGAUUGACCUUGAGAAUUUAUGCUGCCGAUCAGAUAGGAAGAAAAGCUUUCCCGCAGCAUCAUACUGCUACCACCAUGUCCCAUGUUGCUGUGUGUUCUCUAAUUGGGGCUGUGACUGCUCACUAAUCAGCGGAGGUACAGGUAGGCCCCCGGAGGACGCCGAGACGAGGCCUCUCCUGUUAAUUGUGGAAGACGCAGAACUUGGCCUCCUCCUCCUCCUCUUCUCUCCUUUGCAGUCCGGCUCUCGGAUGCGGGCUGGACUCGUCCAAACAUCUGCGCGCAUCGUCACCUCUGUCACCUCUCGGAGCAGCUGGCGUGUAGGAGCUUGCAUUUGUGUUCUAACACCUGAACAAACAGGGGUGUUGCAGAGGGAACCUGUUGUGCGCAGUCAGAGUGAUUCCCAGUGCUUCCAUUUAAUUAUAGUCUUAAGGCUGCAGUUUAAUUAUAAUUUUAGUCCCAAAAGUUGCUUGAAGCCUGGUUUGUUCUAUAGUAGAAAGAACCAGUAUCUUAUGGCAAAAAAAAAAAAAGUAUUCUAAUUUGAGGUGUUUCUGAAGGCGAAUGUUUGCAGGAUGUUCUAAAAAAAAAAAGGACAAAAUAAGCAAAAGCACUUUCCUCAUAUUUUCCAUAAUGAACCAACUCCAGCUUCAAAGACAUCCCAGCCAUUUAUUGCUGCUGUAUGAGUCUAUAAAAUGUCGUCACACUGAUUAUUAUUUACAUGGAAAGUAAAGGUGGAAGGUAGUGCACCACCAAUGAUCUUCCUAUGUGGAACGUACUAAUACAGCAUGUAAAGUGUUUUGAUGUUGGCAUAGAAUAGAAAAAUAAAUCAAUUCAAAAAUCUGUAACAUCUAUCAUCCAUCUGAUUUCAACAUAUUAAAAUACCUCAGCAACAGCUAUUUCAUUGACAUUUUUGUUUCAGCUUAGUGUAGUUAUAUCGUGCUAACCAUUUACUUUGGUGUUAUCUUGGUCUAUUAGUUAUAUAGAAGCCAGUGAUUGUUUGCACAGUAAAAUGAGGUUGGAGGAUUCAUCAUUGAUCAUCCCCAGUGAAACAAUUGCAUAACACGUGAAGCAUUUUCAGUCACAGUACGUAAUUCUUUCAUAUAAAAGUACACAAAAAGCUAUGGAGGGUUAUAAUGAUUAAAAUAAAGCCUUAUAUUUUAAUUGGGAAAAUAAUUCAAUUGUUCUGAAUUGAAACACUUUACAUGGUCUGUCUCAAAACGUGUUUUCUCGUAGCGAUAUCAGCAGUGGCGCAAUUCCUCCUACCGUUGAAUAAACGCCAUCGUGCUAACAGCUGAUUCAAAGGGGACGCAAAAACAAAUAUCCUAAAACAAUUUCCAUUAAAAAAAAGUGGCUUGCAUUAGUUAUUUACAUAGAAGACAUUUGAUUUUCAUACCAGAAAUUUUAACCUGGGCCUUUCUCUGACUAGCCGUUAGCUUCAACAUCCAGGACCAACUCAUCUGGAUUUACACCAUCACUUUACAGCUCAAUGAAGACAUCAAGAGUGUUUUCUACCGCAGGUAAGGUAUUAACUACUGGAAAGCUUUUAUGGGUUAUACACUGUGGAAAUUCUGGACGGUCCAUUUCAACCGUGUUUUGACUUUUUCCAAACCAAAAUGGCUCUGUCCUAGUGUGCUGCAGCAUUUUGUUUUCUCCUGUUCUGUCUCUUUGAAAGUGGCAGCUUUUGCAUGCUGGGGUCACACCUGUAACGCGUUUCACACUGAGUUGUAUUUUUGAGCAGCCACCUGGAUGAGGAAAUAACGGGAUCAUAGAGCAUGAAGACGACAGGGCCUUCCUGCCAAGAAAGAGCAGGUGUUUGUUUUUCGGCGGAACACAUUAACACGAAACAGACUGUUCUGACAUUCGAAGACUAAUGUCACUACAUAGCUUUAAAAAAGUCCAAUCAGAUGAGACGUUUGAAAGCUUUGGUUUGAGUGAAAUGGACCGUUGUUUCGUGAUCAACGGCGUGCGAAUAACCUUGAUAAGUAAUUUUGUGCGCCUUUGUUUUGUUUUUGUUUUUUUCUC
Molecule: long non-coding RNA, 2351 nt
Organism: Poecilia latipinna (sailfin molly)
Lineage: Eukaryota; Metazoa; Chordata; Actinopteri; Cyprinodontiformes; Poeciliidae
Exons: 3
Source: RefSeq, a predicted model, not a curated record